Molecule: ribosomal RNA, 253 nt
Filed under: uncultured bacterium
Lineage: Bacteria
Description: partial 16S ribosomal RNA
Rfam family: Bacterial small subunit ribosomal RNA
Source: RNAcentral
UACAGAGGUCUCAAGCGUUGUUCGGAUUCAUUGGGCGUAAAGGGUGCGUAGGUGGCGGGGUAAGUCAGGUGUGAAAUCUCGAGGCUCAACCUCGAAACUGCACUUGAUACUGCCUUGCUCGAGUACUGGAGAGGAGAUUGGAAUUUACGGUGUAGCAGUGAAAUGCGUAGAUAUGACACAGAACACCAAUUGCGAAGGCAGCUCACAAAACUGUAACUGACACUGAGGCACGAAAGCGUGGGGAUCAAACAGG